UGUUUGUUUGCAUGUGUGUGUGUGUGUGUGUGUGUGUGUGUGUGUGCAGGGCACAUCCUCUCCCACAAAUCCUCACUCCCAAACCAG
Molecule: microRNA precursor, 87 nt
Filed under: Echinops telfairi (small Madagascar hedgehog)
Lineage: Eukaryota; Metazoa; Chordata; Mammalia; Afrosoricida; Tenrecidae
Description: miRNA (ENSETEG00000023815.1)
Source: RNAcentral